UACGGGGGGGGCAAGCGUUGUUCGGAAUUACUGGGCGUAAAGGGCUCGUAGGUGGCUAACUAAGUCAGACGUGAAAUCCCUCGGCUUAACCGGGGACCUGCGUCUGAUACUGGAUGGCUUGAGUUCGGGAGAGGGAUGCGGAAUUCCAGGUGUAGCGGUGAAAUGCGUAGAUAUCUGGAGGAACACCGGUGGCGAAGGCGGCAUCCUGGACCGACACUGACACUGAGGAGCGAAAGCCAGGGGAGCAAACGGG
RNAcentral lists this ribosomal RNA (253 nucleotides) under uncultured bacterium. Its description in RNAcentral is "partial 16S ribosomal RNA". It matches the Rfam family "Bacterial small subunit ribosomal RNA", at positions 524 to 776 of the family's 1533-position model. The record is from RNAcentral.